UACGGGGGGGGCAAGCGUUGUUCGGAAUUACUGGGAGUAAAGGGCUCGUAGGCGGCCAACUAAGUCGGACGUGAAAUCCCUCGGCUUAACCGGGGAACUGCGUCCGAUACUGGAUGGCUUGAGUUUGGGAGAGGGAUGCGGAAUUCCAGGUGUAGCGGUGAAAUGCGUAGAUAUCUGGAGGAACACCGGUGGCGAAGGCGGCAUCCUGGACCAACACUGACGCUGAUGAGCGAAAGCCAGGGGAGCAAACGGG
This 253-nucleotide ribosomal RNA is filed under the name uncultured bacterium. RNAcentral's name for it is "partial 16S ribosomal RNA". It matches the Rfam family "Bacterial small subunit ribosomal RNA", at positions 524 to 776 of the family's 1533-position model. The record is from RNAcentral.